AACGCGAAGAACCUUACCUGGGUUUGACAUGGAUCGGGAGCGCUCAGAGAUGGGUGUGCCUCUUUUGGGGUCGGUUCACAGGUGGUGCAUGGCUGUCGUCAGCUCGUGUCGUGAGAUGUUGGGUUAAGUCCCGCAACGAGCGUAACCCUUGUUCACUGUUGCCAGCACGUUAUGGUGGGGACUCAGUGGAGACCGCCGGGGUCAACUCGGAGGAAGGUGGGGAUGACGUCAAGUCAUCAUGCCCCUUAUGUCCAGGGCUUCAUGCAUGCUACAAUGGCUGGUACAGAGAGUGGCGAGCCUGUGAGGGUGAGCGAAUCUCGGAAAGCCGGUCUCAGUUCGGAUUGGGGUCUGCAACUCGACCUCAUGAAGUCGGAGUCGCUAGUAAUCGCAGAUCAGCAACGCUGCGGUGAAUACGUUCCCGGACCUUGUACACACCG
This 437-nucleotide ribosomal RNA is filed under the name uncultured Propionibacterium sp. Its description in RNAcentral is "bacterial SSU rRNA". It matches the Rfam family "Bacterial small subunit ribosomal RNA", at positions 958 to 1392 of the family's 1533-position model. The record is from RNAcentral. Lineage: Bacteria; Bacillati; Actinomycetota; Actinomycetes; Propionibacteriales; Propionibacteriaceae.